CCGUCGUGAGUUUCGAAAAGAGUUUUCUUUUCUUUUUAAGGGACGCAUUCCCUGGAACCGGGUUGUCCGGAGAUAGGGAUUCUGGUAUCCAUAAAACGCCGACUUUUUCACGGUGUUCGGAGCGCUCUCGUCGGUACGUGAAAAUCCGAGCGACGCCUGGUAAAUCUCGUACUUGGUCGUACUGAUAUCCGCAGCAGGUCUCCAAGGUGAAUAGCCUCUGGCCGAUAGAAUAAUGUAGGUAAGGGAAGUCGGCAAAACGGAUCCGUAACUUCGGAACAAGGAUUGGCUCUAA
Trichinella spiralis is the source of this 292-nucleotide non-coding RNA. The record is from Rfam. Lineage: Eukaryota; Metazoa; Nematoda; Enoplea; Trichinellida; Trichinellidae.